RNAcentral lists this ribosomal RNA (301 nucleotides) under uncultured bacterium. RNAcentral describes it as "partial 16S ribosomal RNA". It matches the Rfam family "Bacterial small subunit ribosomal RNA", at positions 509 to 807 of the family's 1533-position model. The record is from RNAcentral.
CAGCCGCCGCGGUAAUACGGAGGAUCCAAGCGUUAUCCGUAAUCAUUGGGUUUAAAGGGUCCGUAGGCGGUCUUGUAAGUCAGUGGUGAAAGCCCAUCGCUCAACGGUGGAACGGCCAUUGAUACUGCAGGACUUGAAUUAUUGGGAAGUAACUAGAAUAUGUAGUGUAGCGGUGAAAUGCUUAGAGAUUACAUGGAAUACCAAUUGCGAAGGCAGGUUACUACCAAUUGAUUGACGCUGAUGGACGAAAGCGUGGGUAGCGAACAGGAUUAGAUACCCCGGUAGUCCCUGUCUCUUAUAC